CUUUCUUAUGCAUGCGCUUUAGGACAGUUCUUACUGAAAUUUGUUGAGACGUGGGAUCUUGCAUCACAAUUAUUUUUAAUUCGUUAUUUAAUUAUUUUGUGAUUUUCCAUAAUAAUAAGGGAAUAUGGAUCCCGAAGCAUUUUUAGAAAUUGCUAAUCAAAUAUAUCGUAUCCAGAUGUAUCCAUUUUUCGAAAUCGCACAUUGUCUUGUAACAUGCAUAUCGGUUAGAGAAGAUUUGGCUAGAGAUGCUCAUGUGCUUUCUCGCAAACAUCCUCUUGCUUGUUGGAUUGUUUGUAUGGUAGCUAUCAAUGCUGGAUCUAUAUUAACCAGUUUUCUUCUCGGUGAACCAGUUCUUUCUGCAUUUAAAAACCAAAAUUCUGUGUUGCUUGCUACCGGAGCAUGGUAUAUGGUGUUUUACUCACCUUUCGAAGUUGGAUAUAAAAUUUUAAAAUUUUUACCUGUUAAAUUGGCACUUAAUAUCAUGAAGGAAGUGGUGCGUUGCAGGAAAGUUCAUGAUGGUGUGGUUUAUGCUGCCAAGAUCUACCCAAACAGUUAUUUAAUUAUGAUAAUAAUUGGAACUGUGAAAGGUAAUGGAUCAGCAUUUUUGAAAGUAUUUGAAAGACUCCUACGAGGUGUGUGGACACCUGAAAUCACUGAGCUACUUAUUAUGAACUUUCCGACUAAGGCCUCCAUUGCUGCUUCUGUUGUUUUUGUUUUGAACAAGAAGACGGAAAUCAUACCAGCCCCAAAUACUCUAGUAUAUUUUGGCGUUGCUUUAUUCUUCGUGUACUUCAAAAUAUCUUCAAUGUUGCUUGGUAUUCAUGAUCCGUUCGUGCCAUUUGAAAACCUUUACUGCGCCAUAUUCUUUGGAGGCAUAUGGGAUAAACUUAGUAAACCUUUUAUGCAGGCAUGUGGAGUCGACUACAAGAACAGUGAAGCUCUUAAGGAUAGAAGACCUGAAUCAGCAAAGAAAAAAGAAUAAAAACAUUGUGCUAGAAGUUUAUCCAAAUACAUCGUGCUAGAAGUUUAUCCAAAUACAUUGGAAUUCAAAUGCAAUUUUUAUAAAAUUUGGAUUUCAAAUUGCCUGCCAAAAACCUGUGAAAGCGCUGAUAUUUCUCUUGAAGAAUGUCUCAGCAUUGGUCAUCAGAGUAUGCAAUGUGAAUUAUGUUAAUUUUUUUUUAAUGUAAGUGUUUGCAAUAAUUUAUUCAUUGAAAGUUUUAAAAUAUAAUUUAAACAUCUAAGUAAGUGCCAUUUUCAUAUCAUAUAUAUUUGAUUAAACAUCGUUAUAUAUGAUAUUUACAUAUGCUGUAUCCAAAAUUGCAAAAUAUUACUUAACAUUCAUUAGUGAUGUAAUUGGAUUGUAUGGAGACCUUGUCAAAUAUUUUGUUUGGGAUCCAUUUUUCAGUCUUGGAACAUAAGAAAAUAGCAGUGUCUUUGUAAGUAUAACACCUGUGGGAAUGGGUCCUGAAAACAUGGACCCACUCUUCAUACUCUAUAGUUACAUCACUGACUUACAUGCUAUGUUAUCAGCUGAUUGAGAAAGUUUAUUCCCCUUUGUUUUAAUUUUAUAAAUAUAUUUAUCAUGAUGGUUACAAUUUUUAUAAUUUGGAGUGUAUAUAUUUUUUAUAUAGAAUCAUUGAUGAUCUAUUCAUCGAAAAAUGGUCCAAAUUAUUAUAUUUUGCAAAAUAACUUUAAAAGUGUCCCCAAGAGAUAUAAAUUAUAGACUUAGUAUGUCAUCAACUGUGUUAACUAGGUUAAUUAAUUAGACCUUUUCUUUCAAUUAUGUCCAGUGUAUUCUUUUAAUCUGUCUUGAGAGUUUCCUACUUUCUUGAUAAUUUACA
RNA transcript from Argiope bruennichi, 1841 nucleotides. It is a transcript of the gene named trimeric intracellular cation channel type 1B.1-like, with no coding region annotated. The record is from RefSeq and is a predicted model, not a curated record. The transcript has 6 exons. NCBI's taxonomy places the organism in Eukaryota, Metazoa, Arthropoda, Arachnida, Araneae, Araneidae.